RNAcentral lists this ribosomal RNA (253 nucleotides) under uncultured bacterium. RNAcentral's name for it is "partial 16S ribosomal RNA". It matches the Rfam family "Bacterial small subunit ribosomal RNA", at positions 524 to 776 of the family's 1533-position model. The record is from RNAcentral.
UACAGAGGUCUCAAGCGUUGUUCGGAUUCAUUGGGCGUAAAGGGUGUGUAGGUGGCGCCGUAAGUCGGGUGUGAAAUUUCGGAGCUUAACUCCGAAACUGCAUUCGAUACUGCGGUGCUUGAGGACUGGAGAGGAGACUGGAAUUCAUGGUGUAGCAGUGAAAUGCGUAGAGAUCAUGAGGAAGACCAGUGGCGAAGGCGGGUCUCUGGACAGUUCCUGACACUGAGGCACGAAGGUCAGGGGAGCAAACGGG